Small nucleolar RNA from Heterocephalus glaber (naked mole-rat), 124 nucleotides. Its record names the gene SNORA70. It matches the Rfam family "Small nucleolar RNA SNORA70". Rfam says of the family: snoRNA U70 seems to be exclusive to mammals and is a member of the H/ACA class of snoRNA which contain H (ANANNA) and ACA box motifs. H/ACA box snoRNAs are involved in the conversion of uridines to pseudouridines (5-ribosyluracil) a constituent of structural RNAs (transfer, ribosomal, small nuclear, and small nucleolar). The record is from Ensembl. Lineage: Eukaryota; Metazoa; Chordata; Mammalia; Rodentia; Bathyergidae.
GUGCCAGUAACUGGGUUUCUGUACUCAUGGUUGCCCAGUGUGCAAAAGCUUUGAACAGCAGGCUCUUCAGCAGUGUGCACAGAUCAUUGCUGGAAUGGGCUGCCCUAAGGCCCUAAGAACCUCU